UGUCCAGCAAACCAAGGCCACGGGCCACGUCCCAGGCACUGGGGACACCAUUCAUCCAGUGUCAGCCACCGCUUACCCAGUGCCCCUAACUACAACGGGAAGCCAACAGACAAGAGAUUAUUGGGUGGCCAGCACCAUGGCUUCCUAGGCUAAUCCUCCACCUGUGGCACCAGUACUCCAGGUCCUAGUCCCAGAUGGGGCGCUGGAUUCUGUCCCGGUUGCUCCUCUUCCAGGCCAGCUCUCUGCUGUGGCCCGAGAAGGCAGUGGAGGAUGGCCCAAGUGCUUGGGCCCUGCACCCGCAUGGGAGACCAGGAGGAGGCACCUGGCUCCUGGCUUCAGAUUGGUGCAGCGCUGGCCAUAGCGGCCAUUUGUGGGGUGAACCAAUGGAAGGAAGACCUUUCUCUGUCUCUCUCUUUCUCUCUCACUAACUCUGCCUGUCAAAAAAAAAGAGAGAGAGAGAGAGAGAGAGAGAGAGAGAGAGAGAUUCUGGGCAGUGGCCAGUGUAGGGGGUACAAGCAAGGUGAUGUCAUCAGAACUGGGGGGGGGUUGCCAAAGGUAGUGAUUAGGGAAGAGCUGGUUGUGACGAUGACUUUAUGCGUAGCUGAACGGGACCUGCCGGUCACGGCUUUCUCAGGCCACAUGUCCUGCUGUGCUGGGUCUGUGACCAGCACUGUUUGGCUGUGCGUGCCCAGCCCUUCUCUGGGCAUUCCUUGCUGGUCCAGAGAUGGGCAGCUCCAAUGGAUCCAGGCCUUUCCAGGGGGAUCCCAGCCUGGGCCACUUCUUUCCCGUGUCAAUAUCUGCAAGGAUGGUCUUGCCCAGGCUUUUUCCUCCAGGAGUUCAAAGAGCUGGUUAAUGCAGCGGAGAACUCCAACAAGCCAGUGCUGCAGCCAUUUGGCUCUGUCUGGAAUGCUGGGACUCAGAAGCCAGUUUCAUCCAACUUUAAUCUGCACGCUCAGAGCACCUGUCAGCGCGCAAGCCGUCAACAAGAGAAAUCGUGGGGCAGACGCAUUGCUCCCAGCUGGAGUUCUGGCUGAGCGCUGAUGGUAACUGCUUCCUACCUUAGGGUUUUAAAUAGAAUUAAUUUUCUCUGUAAUGAUCAUAAAGGAUGCUGUUACCUAAAUGAGGCAGCUGACGC
RNAcentral lists this long non-coding RNA (1135 nucleotides) under Oryctolagus cuniculus (rabbit). RNAcentral's name for it is "lncRNA (ENSOCUG00000036505.1)". The record is from RNAcentral. Lineage: Eukaryota; Metazoa; Chordata; Mammalia; Lagomorpha; Leporidae.